UUCUACUUCAAUAACAAAUGUUGGUUUGGUUCAAAAUAAUCCAUAGUUAUGUUCAAAUAUCCUCUGUUUUGUUCGUGCGUUCAAGACACUAUCCGAAUGGUAAAGAAGGGUGACGCGCACGACGCAUUUCGUGACAAAAAAUGUCUAAAUAUUCCAUUACCGUACUUCGAAGCAUGUCAACCGCUGUUUAAAAUCAAUUUUUAUGCCAUUUUUCUCGUAAAAAAGCGAUAAUAUUCCGACCGGGAAAGCGUGUUUACGUUCAAAGACGAAAGAAAAUAAAACAUGGGGUCGACUCGUGCACCAGCCUCAGUCUGAUGGUACUCUGACCGGCCACUAUCCAAACCCGCUAAUGUUUUUCAGCCAGAGGCUGGAAUUACAUCAUUCAGCUUUUUCCCGGGUUCUGAGAGCCUAUGGGAGCCGUAGGAAGUGUCACGUUACAGCAAAGAUCCUCAGUUUUCAAUAAACAGAGCAAAGAAGAACAAGAACUUGUCAGACAGGACACUUCCUAUAAACUUGUUCCCAGUCAGUAACCAUGCCCAACUGAGCACAGACAUUGUGUCGGCGUGAUGGAACGCCCCUUUUUACCUGAGUAUAAAAGCCUUGCUAAUGAAAUUUACACCAGACCAAGCAGACGAAUGGUGUAAGCCGGACGUUACGAAUGGUUAAAACUACUGACCAAAACAUGCCGGGUUGCUGCUGACGUGUAAAGUGAUUGGGAGCUUGAACCUGAAGAAUCAACCUUGAGACCACUACCAGACCAGCCGACAUACAGCGCGAGCUGAACGUUACAAAUGGUUUAAACUCUGAGACCACUACGAGACCAAAAGACGAUAGACCGUGGUCUACCCAUUGAAAUGGUUAGAAACUCUGAAGCAAGUGUGAAGAUCACCUAGGAGGACCAGAAACAUUCACAGUUUAAAAGUGGUCCUCGAACUUUGACUUAAGUCACAAGGUGGGAAGGAGAAUCCCCACAUACAACCAUUGGUACAUCUGAAGUAACUGUUCUAACAAGCACUUCACUACCAGAGAAGCUCUACAACUGACAUUGUGACCUCUGGUGGACAAACCAGAGCCUCACACCUAUCCAGCCCCUUCCUCAUAGAAGGACCGAUUGGUUUCAACAGAGAGAUGACAGAGAAAGACAACUGUGUAAAUAUAUAUAUAUUGCAUUUCUUAUCCGAAUGAGCGGAGGUUCAUGUGCAAAGUAUUACUAUUCCUUUGAGCGUAGGUUCCAAAUGUAACAACGAUAAGUUUAGUCUCUUUGUCUCUACCUUUCUGUUUCUAUUGACCCCUCCCUUUUGUAACAAGCCAUCAUAUCUUGUCAGUCCACUUGGGACUUUUAUCGCAUGUAAGUGUUUGUGUGUUUAUGUAUUGUGUUAUUCUUUAGGUAGUUAGUAUAUAAAUAAUUAAGCCAAUUUGUGUAUUGCUGAUUCAUCAAUAAGGUUAGGGUUCUUGCAGAUAUCAAGAAGUAUGUGAUGUUCAGAAUGAGACUGAUAUGAGGUAAUGAUUUAAUAAGUGACUGUUAUUGAUGUAAGAGAUAUCUAUAUCUCUUUAGAGUUUAAGUCGGGAGAUAGUAACUAAUUAAACAACAUUUUCCUGUGGUGCCCC
RNAcentral lists this long non-coding RNA (1608 nucleotides) under Salmo salar (Atlantic salmon). RNAcentral describes it as "lncRNA (ENSSSAG00000122042.1)". Lineage: Eukaryota; Metazoa; Chordata; Actinopteri; Salmoniformes; Salmonidae. The record is from RNAcentral.